CAAAUUAAAAAUAACACAAACAAAAUUAACAAAUAAAGUCGAUGUCUGGGAAGUUCGGAGCCAAGUUCUGGGAAGUCGUCUACGCCAAGCACGACAUCAUCUCCACCGACCGAUACAACGGCGACUCCGACCUUCAACUCUAACGCAUCGAUGUCUAAUGUAAUGAAGCGAGCUCUCAGCGCUACGCCCCCGGGCGGUUCUCAUGGAUCUCGAAUCGGGCACCAUGGAUAGCCUCCGAUCCGGCUCGUACGGCCAGAUUUUCAGGCUCGAUGACUUCGUGUUCGGCUAGUCUGGGGUGGGGAACAAUUGGGCUAAAGGGCAUUACACUGAGGUGCUGAAUUGAUCGAUUCGGUUCUCGAUGUUGUUCGUAAAGAAGCCGAGAUUGUGAAUGUCUUCAGGGUAUAAUUCUCAUCUCAGAUUUAUAAUUUUGUGUGUUUUAUGUAUGUAUUGUUGUAGAUCUGUGUUUUUUUAUAUAAAUUUAGUGUGUGUCUAGAUGUGUUUUUUUUUGGGUCAUUUUGUCGAACAUGUGGUAUGCAUAUCAAAGAUCUUUUUUAAAUUAAUAUAUCGAACAGGUGGUAUUCAUUUGAUGCUCUGUUGUUGUGUAUAUUUGUCUUUGGUAUAUAUGGAUAAACUACGUUUGUGUAUAUAUGUACAUGUAUAUUGUAUUUUAUUCCUCUUUAGGCCCGGAGAAUGGUGUGAGAUUAUUCUGGUCAGCUCAUAUGUGAUUAAACUUUAAGUCUUGUGAAGGCAGCAAGACAAACAAAUGAGACGGGAGCUACUGAAAUUGCAAAUAAAGAUAUAGAGAUUGACGCAAAUACUAGCGCUAAGGAUGUUGGAGCUGUGAAGAAGGCUAGUUCUACACGUCGAAAGAAAGUGCGUUCGAUGGUUGAAAUCCUUCAUGUCAAUGAUGAAGAAAAGAGUGGCCAGUUAGCUUCUCACAAUACAACUCCCAAAAAUGGUUCGAGCCUCCAAAGGAGAUGCCACUACAACAAUUGCACAAAUACAUAAAUCUGGAUUAGAUUAUGUUGGUGAAGAAAAAAUCUGUAGAAGUGCUCAAGUGAAAACUUUAGCCUUAUUUUGCUUGAACUUGUAGACUUGGUUAUGUGCUCAUGUUUGAACAAUAGUAAUAGGACUAUAGUAGUGCUUGUUGACUUUUUGGAUUGGUGAAUAUUGGAUUGUAUUUUAAUAUACCAAUUAAAUUUGGUGGUUGUUAAUGAAAUGUGAAGGUCAUGCCAAUUUUUUUUUAAA
Long non-coding RNA from Daucus carota subsp. sativus, 1248 nucleotides. RefSeq lists it as uncharacterized. The record is from RefSeq and is a predicted model, not a curated record. The transcript has 2 exons. Lineage: Eukaryota; Viridiplantae; Streptophyta; Magnoliopsida; Apiales; Apiaceae.